This 253-nucleotide ribosomal RNA is filed under the name uncultured bacterium. RNAcentral's name for it is "partial 16S ribosomal RNA". It matches the Rfam family "Bacterial small subunit ribosomal RNA", at positions 524 to 776 of the family's 1533-position model. The record is from RNAcentral.
UACGUAGGGUGCGAGCGUUGUCCGGAAUUAUUGGGCGUAAAGGGCUCGUAGGCGGUCUGUCACGUCGGGAGUGAAAACCCAGGGCUCAACCCUGGGCCUGCUUCCGAUACGGGCAGACUAGAGGUAUGCAGGGGAGAAUGGAAUUCCUGGUGUAGCGGUGAAAUGCGCAGAUAUCAGGAGGAACACCGGUGGCGAAGGCGGUUCUCUGGGCAUUACCUGACGCUGAGGAGCGAAAGUGUGGGGAGCGAACAGG